This is a long non-coding RNA of Phocoena sinus (vaquita), 2204 nucleotides long. Lineage: Eukaryota; Metazoa; Chordata; Mammalia; Artiodactyla; Phocoenidae. The record is from Ensembl.
AGGCGACGCCCGUGCAUCCGGCCAGCGUGUCUGGGUCCCGUGGGCACCGCGCAGCAGGUGGCCUAGGCCAGCGUACCCCUAGGGUCGCGGACGCGCGUUGGGAGCCGCUCCCCGCAGCGCAGAGUGGACAUGAAGGGCGGAGGCGGUUCCCUCGAGCAUGGUCCAUUCUUGCACCAAGAAGGUCGUGGAAGGACUGUGAUGGAGGGGAAGAACGCGCCCGACAUUCUUGUUUUUCUGGACUUAUCGCCCGCCCCCGCUCGCGCAUCUCAGCGUCCCUGCGCCCCGCUUCCCAGGAGCACACGAAGCCCCCCCUCCGGCAUCUGACAGCGCCCGCCGCUUCCCGGCUCGGCCUGCAGGUGCGUGGCCAAGCCCAAAUAGCCCCUGCUGGCCAUGGUGGGCGGCUAGCGUGUCCCUCUCGGCCAGUUGACGCCACCGCCUCCGUCUGGACACCGACUGCGCCGCAGCGCACCCCGCGCAGGGAAGCCCAGCUUCAUUCAGGGCGCUCCCGCCGCCUUCCAGCCUCUCAGGAUUUUGAGCUCCUGAUCCAAUCAUGCUGACUCGUUUCAUCCUCCUCCCCUACUUGGUUUGUGGAAGGGCCGAGCACCAAGGAAGCGCCUGACACUUCCUUCCUUGGACACGAAUCCAUUAUUCUGCGCUUUGUCUCUGUAUCUGACCCGCUGUUAUUCUCCAGUUGUAUUGUCCUCAGUUCCUUUUCUCCUCUAACCACCAGAGCAUAUGCUGGAGAGUUCUUUAAAACUCUUCAAAGAGAUUAAGAUACUCUGACUUGACACUCAGAUUAUUAUUAUACAAACCUCCACAAUGUGGCUUUUUUCAUGACUUAAUGAAUUCAAGUGUUUUCUAGUUUUAUCCUCAUAAAGCAUUCACAUCACUCGUUGACUAAUCCUUUCUACAGUUUUCCACAGCUUUUUGAUCUCUAGUUUCUGAAACCCAUUUUUUCCUAUCUCCCAUCUCUGCCUCUUUUUUUGUUCUCUAGAAAGCUACAAAAUUAGUAACUAUGAUUUUGCAACCCAAUUUAUAAGUUUUCCAGUACAGAGUGUACAGGGAAACUUCAGCAAGAAACUUCUCAGCGACUCCAGCUGGCCUCAGCUUCCCUCUCCUGACAGUGUCACGGGUUCCACCAACCCUUGAUGGAGUCCAGCCUCGAUUGCCGCAGCCAGCACCAUCUGUGGGGCCCAGAAGUGCUCCGUUCUGCUUUCCGUUUAGUUCCAGGGGUAGGAAAUGAUUCAUUCAAGGGAAGAAGCAUUUACUGAAUCUACCCUAGUGUUUAAAUAUUACUAUGUGUAAUCCUCACACCAGCACCUCGUGGCAAGGUAUCAAGGUCCACAUUUUACUGAUGAGAAAACUAUGCUGGUCUAAGGCCAAAGAGGCAAGAAGAGAUUGUAGCCCAGGUCUGUGUAAUUUUCCUGCACCAUCUCACCGGUGGCAAGGCUGACUCUUGAAAGGGAGAUCAAUUUAGGAAACGAAGAUUGAAACAAAAAAAUCAUCCCCCCCUAAUGUAUACCCCUGUAUAUGUACAAAUGAGUCUAGGGUUCAUCAGAGACUGGCCUGGUGCUUUUGCAACUAGGCAGCCUCGGUCACCUCACCCCUGAUGCCUGAGAAACUGAGACUCUGAGAGGCUAAUGGGAGUGCACACAUGGGCCAUGGCACCUGUGCUGUGCUCUAGGGCAGGGCUUAGCCUGCAGUCCUGGCCACAGACAGUUGCCAUCUAUUCUGGGCGCGGGGGGUGGGGGAGGUGUUACCUGGAGUCCUGACACCACCUUACAAAGAUGUGCAGCAACAGUGGCGACCGCUUUCUGACAAGAGAAAAAGGCAGACUGUUUCCUGCCCCUGGUGCUGCUGACCCAGUCAUUUAAAGUAUUGAUGUGCUUUUGCCACUAUCUCCUCGCCUAUCUUGGGAUUCAGUUCCCUCCUAAUCAGGUCUGUUCUAAGCUUUCCAUUUAUAUAGUGCUUCUGCGUGGAGGAGAGGAGAAAUGAACUGAAAGACAACACUCCCCUAAUAUUGGGCCAGCCUUUCCUUUGGUCUAAUUUCUCUGAGCUAAUUGGAAAAUGCCUCUUAUUAUCCUUAGAAUUUUUCUAAACAUCGGCUCUAGACAUAGGGUGCUAGCACUCCUAACACUUUUCAGUCCACCCUCUUCUUCAUCUGUCUUUGGCACAUAGUAGGCCCUCAAUAAACAUGUUAAAUG